ACAGGAAGGAGGGUCUAGUCAGAGCACAGGGAGGAGGGGCUAGUCAGAGCACAGGGAUGUGGGGCUAGUCAGAGCACAGGGAGGAGGGGCUAGUCAAAGCACAGGGAGGAGGGGCUAGUCAGAGCACAGGGAGGAGGGACUAGUCAGAACACAGGAAGGAGGGGCUAGUCAGAGCACAGGGAUGUGGGGCUAGUCAGAGCACAGGGAGGAGGGGCUAGUCAGAGCACAGGGAUGUGGGGCUAGUCAGAGCACAGGGAGGUGGGGCUAGUCAGAGCACAGGGAGGAGGGACUAGUCAGAACACAGGAAGGAGGGGCUAGUCAGAGCACAGGGAUGUGGGG
Oncorhynchus tshawytscha (Chinook salmon) is the source of this 339-nucleotide long non-coding RNA. The record is from Ensembl. NCBI's taxonomy places the organism in Eukaryota, Metazoa, Chordata, Actinopteri, Salmoniformes, Salmonidae.